AACGCACAUUGCGCCCGCCAGCACUCUGGCGGGCAUGCCUGUUCGAGCGUCAUUUCAACCAUCAAGCCCCAGGCUUGUGUUGGAGCCCUGCGGCUGCCGCAGCCUCCCAAAAACAGUGGCGGGCUCGCUAUCACACCGAGUGCAGUAGAUUACUCUUCGCUCAGGGCGUGUGGCGGGUUCCAGCCGUGAAACCCCCUACUUCUCAAGGUUGACCUCGGAUCAGGUAGGAAUACCCGCUGAACUUAA
RNAcentral lists this unclassified non-coding RNA (246 nucleotides) under uncultured fungus. RNAcentral's name for it is "sequence contains ITS2". Lineage: Eukaryota; Fungi. The record is from RNAcentral.